AGCAGUAGGGAAUCUUCCGCAAUGGACGAAAGUCUGACGGAGCAACGCCGCGUGAGUGAUGAAGGCUUUCGGGUCGUAAAACUCUGUUGUUAGGGAAGAACAAGUGCUAGUUGAAUAAGCUGGCACCUUGACGGUACCUAACCAGAAAGCCACGGCUAACUACGUGCCAGCAGCCGCGGUAAUACGUAGGUGGCAAGCGUUAUCCGGAAUUAUUGGGCGUAAAGCGCGCGCAGGUGGUUUCUUAAGUCUGAUGUGAAAGCCCACGGCUCAACCGUGGAGGGUCAUUGGAAACUGGGAGACUUGAGUGCAGAAGAGGAAAGUGGAAUUCCAUGUGUAGCGGUGAAAUGCGUAGAGAUAUGGAGGAACACCAGUGGCGAAGGCGACUUUCUGGUCUGUAACUGACACUG
Molecule: ribosomal RNA, 407 nt
Filed under: Bacillus cereus
Lineage: Bacteria; Bacillati; Bacillota; Bacilli; Caryophanales; Bacillaceae
Description: bacterial SSU rRNA
Rfam family: Bacterial small subunit ribosomal RNA
Source: RNAcentral